Long non-coding RNA from Taeniopygia guttata (zebra finch), 4820 nucleotides. Lineage: Eukaryota; Metazoa; Chordata; Aves; Passeriformes; Estrildidae. The record is from Ensembl.
UUUUUUUUUUUUUUUUAAAUAUCUCUAUCUUUCUCUAGCUCACAUUUCUUUUUCUCAUUUCAGGGGAAAAAAAAAACCUCUCCCAAGAGCAAAAAGGAAUGGAGACAUGGUCUUUAUGUUUUACUGGGAAAAACGAGGUCAAAGUCAAGGGUGUUGGCAUAACCCUGCUGUUGUACAACAUUAAGUGUAGUUCAAGGUUUCAAGUACAAACACCUCUGCCUGCCCAACACCAUAGCAACCAACACUAUUAAUGAUGUUUAAACUGUAUACUGAAAAUUCAGAAAAAGGAGAAGGAGGGGGAAAAAAAGCAGUUACAGUAUUUGAAAUGUAAAAUAUUAAGUAAGGCUUUCAUGUUAACAAUAUCUUUUCUUCACUUUCCCCAUAGCGUGAAGAAUUUUUAUAAGAAAAGCCCUAUUUGACAGUGCAAAAAAAAAUGCUAAUGACUAUCCUUUCUUUAGGGGAAAAGAAGUUAGUCGAAAUAGGUGGGAAAAUGCAGUUGUUGCUAAAGACUUGAAGGGGAGAGAGAAGAAUAGCAACACUAGACAAUGGUUCUGUCUCUGGUGCCAACUCCUCUUAACAGCUCUGCUGCCAAAGAAAAACAGAUUCCUGAGCCACUGUGGGAUUUGCCCAACUUGUACCUGGACUGCAGCCUUCAGCUCUCUCCCCAGGCUUCUUGCUAAGGAAGCAGCCUUCAAAAGGUGAGCAGUUUGUCAGACAGAAGUCAAAGGAUGAGAAAUAGGAACAGGAAGAAAGGAGACUGGAAGGAAAGAAACCACCAAGGAAGGCCUUGGAGGAGUGUGGGAGUUUUAGCAGUGCAUUGAAAGUGCUGUUUGCAGGAGCAGGAAAUGGGAUGCUGCCUGGCCCCCCAGGUCUGGAUUUUUUUUUUUUGUGAUCAGGGCACCUGCAGCUCCCCAGUGCCACUGAGGAUGCCAGCCUGUGAGACAGAGUCCACCUUGGAAGAGGGGAGACCAGUUUGGUUGGCCCUGAACCUCUUAUUUUUUUAAUAACACUCCAGAUAAGUCAGUGGCUUUUUGUCAGUGUUACAAUCACUUGCUUACAACAGAUUUAGCUUCUUAAUUUACUUCUUCUGCCCUUGCUUACAAUGCAGUCUUUUCAGACAGUCCAGAGUGGGAUCAGCAGCUCUUUUGAUUAAUUUGUUAUAUUUGUUUUGUCUUCAGUCUCUGAAAAACCUGACUUGACAGCUGGCUCUGCACACUUCUGGGAUGGAUGCAAAGCUGAAGGAGGGUGGGUGACUACUCUAUUCAGUGAGUGCAUGGUCACAGGGAGGCUUGGACCAUCCUUAUGUUUUUCCUCGAGGAACCUGCUAGCAGUUGGUGCCCGAGAUGGAAUCUCAGACUAACUGGAGCUUUCUCCCCUGCCAAAUAGUGCUCAUCAUGUGGCUUCAUUGAAGAGGAUGCAAAUGUUGCCAUAGGCAUAAGCAAGGCCAGGAAGAAGAGCAGCAUCAUAAAUGUUAAGUAACUGUGUCUGUUCUCACCAGCUGGUGCAGGAAUUUUUCCUGUAGACUUUCUGCAUAAAUACCUGGGAGGUUAAAGGAGUGCAGAACUGAGCUGUAGUAACUCAAAUGGCAUUGCCUCUUAAGGCUGUUCCUUGACAGCCUGAGAUUUUUUUCCCUUCCUGUUUGAUCCAUCUUGAACUCCAAGAAAGCAGGGAACUUAUCUCUCUCCCUGUUUGAACUGUAAGUGAUUAAUUACAGACCCCAAGAAUGGGCUCCUUGCCUAUCUCUUGUGUUUAAAUUGCCUUCCAGGAUUUUGCAAGGCUAAGGAGCCUCUUCUGACUUUACAGCUGACUGUGCCUCGGUUAAGCCUCUCUUGGUUUUGUUGGGAGCUGCAUCUGAUCCAUAGUGAACUCUAAGAACAAAUUUAACAGGAUUUGCUGGUCCUGACCCUUUUGCCACUGCUUGAAAACAAGACAGUGUUGUUGAUUUUAGCCGUGUAGGGAGAAGAAGUGCGAUGAAACAGGGCAUUUGGAUGGGGAGAGAUGCUGCUAUUCUGAAACUCUGCUUUCCCCAUUCCACCCCCAGAAGUGGGGCACAGAGGGAGUCUGCAGCUGGUGCCUUUGGCCACGUUGUAUCAGAUGGAGGAUAUGCCAUGAAAUAUCCAGCAAUUGCACUGGCAAAGAAUCCAGCAGCCCUGGUUCUGAGCCAAGGCAAGCUUGUACUUGGUGCUGGACAGGGUGCCUUCUCUGAAUUACUUACAAACAGAGACAGAGUGAGGAAGGAAGAGAGGGCUUACAGGACCGAUGAGGCAGUAUUGUUAUGUCUAAGCAGGGAGAAGAAGGUGCUUUUUGGGCCAGGGAGGGGCAGAGUUCAGGAGAAGAGUUUCCUUUCCACCCAGAAAUACCAUGAAGAUCUGAAAGGUUUUUGGUAUAAGCUCAUGUGGUAUAAGCACAUGAGAGGUGAGGGAUAAAGCAAGUGGUUUGGAUAAGAGAAAGAACCAGAGAAAAAAUUUCACAUCCUCUUCAUGGCUGUGCUGGCAAAUAAUGAAUAGUGGUCUGAUGGGUUUUAGGGCUCAGAAAAGAGAGGGGAAAGUCAGAAGGAAAAAGGUAAGAACUCUUCCCCUCUCCAACCACCUUGUUGCUGGUGGUUUCUCUCUCAUGGCUCUCCCAAUAGCAUAGGAGGAGCUAUGGGGUUGGCAGAGAGCAUCAGCUUCUACUCUGUGCUACAUCUUCUGCCUGAGCAUACCCCAGGUAACUCAGCUUCCAUGAGCACUGGGAGAAGCAGCAGGCUGGGGCAACGAGCAGGAUGGAUGUGCUGACAAGAGUCUGCCCCUUCCACACUACCCCACCUUUCCCACAUCACCAUCAGUUUUGGCUGGAGUGAGGCUGACUGUAGAAGCUGGCCAAGCUCUCUGCUUGCCACAGUGUUUUUUCUGCAGGGGAGAAGCUCCUCUCUGGGCUCUCUGACAGGCUUGUUUCCCAGAGGCAUGGUGUGGGGUGCAGGCAGACAGAGUCUCGGUGCAGCUGGCAGGGAGAGCAGGGCCCCCCCACACCCUCUCCUUUCUCCCUGGCAUUCAGCUGUAUUGGACGGUGUCUGUUUUUAGCAAAAGUCGCAGAUUCAACAGCUGAGCUGAUUUUCCAAAGGGACAUAUAAAACAAACAGCCUGCCAUCUGCUCUAUUGUCCUGGAAUAGCGGCUUGGAGAGUGGGGGAGAGGGAAGGAGGGGAAUGCGAGGAAUGAGAAGGGGACUGGGAGGAAGAGGAAGGGAAGGAGUGGGAGCAGAAGAGAGGAAAAGGCAGAAAGGGGAGGCAGGGAGGUCAUGGCAGAGAGGGGAGGCUGAAGGAAAAGAGAGAAAGGAGGACACAAAAAGGAAAGCUGUGUGGAAGUGAGGAUUUGUUGAGGGGAGAGGACCAGAGUCAGGCUUGGGGGCAAACAGGGCUUGCUUGGGAUCACCCUGGCUGCAUUCCUCAGCCCUAUGAGCCACAUAGGCAGGCAAUAUGAGCACCCCAGUCCUUGCUGAGCCAGAGUCUGACUGCAAAGUGGACAUAGUGGCCUGGAUAAUCACUCCUCUUCCACCCACUCAGCCCUGCCUGCUACACACCCCCACCUCUGCUCUGACUUUUAUUGAGUGCCGCAGGGCAGGGAUUGAACUCCAGGUUUGGCAGCAGAGUAAAUAACAGCAACAUUGGUCUCUCUGGCCUGGGAGGGAGGAGGGCUGGUUUUAAUCAAAGGUAAAUAACAGUCAGUAUUGUCUGAACCUUAAUCCAAUUUCCUAGAACUGGAGAAUAAUGUUCCAACUUAAACAUGUGGCACUGGCCCACCAGAGAGGGAUGGCUACUCAGUCAGCAAGCUGCUAGGCACAGGACAGCCAAGGAGAGCAGAGCUGGGGGAGAUGCCACAAGGCAGGUAAUUUAUCCUAGCUAAUCUGGACUGUGCUGUUCUGUUUUAAUUCUUCCUGGUUUAUUUUCCUGGCUUCAGUCAUCCCAAAAGAUGGGGCUGGUUUCUGACAGGCAGCACAUCUUCAUGUAAUGUGGGCCCAGUUGAUUACAAGCUCUCUGAUUUGCUUGGUUGUCAGGAGACUUGGGACCAGGCUGAUACCCUGCAUCUGCAUCCCUGGAGGUCAUUUUGCCUCUUAUGGUGGCCUGGAGAAAGGUGCUUAUAGAGUCAUGCUUGCUGUUACAUGGACAUGGCAUGAAUCAUGUUUGUGCCAUAUCAAGUUCCCGCUACACAUGACCUAUAAGCAAGAUUUCAGUGUUGGAAAACAGUGUUUAUGUUGUUGUUAGUCUGGUAGCACAACAAUCUGUGUGACUGGAAACUGCACUCUGGCUUGGUCUCAUAUUCAAAUCACAGAGAGUUAGAGAGGUGCUGUUAUUCAGCUAUCAGGAGGUUAUCUAAUCCUGCAGCAGGGCCAGCCGCUUUAUACCCCUCCCAGCAGAUUUGUCCAACUGACUCUUAAAACACAUUGUUCUGUCCAGACUAUCAGCGCUGGAAUUGAAAACCCAGUUUCUGAUAGUAAAGCACUGAUACCUGGUUGAUUUUGAAAAGACGGAUUUGUUCUGCAGUGCUGUGCCAACACCAUUUGUAGAUACCCAUUGAGCAGCUCUGUCAGGGUCCUGGGCACUGCUUUUUCCUCUGUGGGGCAGCUGAUUUGCAAUUCUCUGGAACAAAAACGGCCUGGUGAGGCCAGGAUGUGUUUGGGAAGAGGCAGAGACGCAUCCUGGAGCUGAGGGCAGAGGAGGCCAAGCUCCAUUCCAGACCUUUCAUCUUUCGAAAUGACUUGGCAGUCAAUAGUCACAGCUCAAGCUGCUGUGUGGACAGAGCAGCUGUCCACCGGUGGGUGGACUGUGGUUUUAAGACCUCUUUUC